UCAAAUGCCCGUUUGCUUCGUCUCGUUUUAUCAGGACAUUUUUCGAUGUCAAAUCACGGUGGAAAAUUCCUCUGCUGUGGAGGUAGGCCAUACCACGUGCCACAUCCCGGGCGAGGUUCAUUCGUGUCGAGUGACUCAGGGGUGUGUGCCUUGCCAUUAUAAGCUGCUCCAGACUACCUCCAUUUAUGUAUUCUGUCAGUGCGUGGAGUUGACCCUCGUGGACGCAAACUCCCAUGAACCUUUUCGGUAAAGAGGAAAGAAAGGAAUUGAUAUUAUUUUAUUAAAAUGAAAGUCGACGGCCGAGUAAGGUUUUGAGGUAAUUGAUUCAUCUUGAGGACCAUCACUUGUCCCGUUACCUUGUGAGUGACCUGAAACAGUGGUGAUACAAAAUUAUGCAAUUCUCUAUAAAUUGGGAAUGUAAAUAAUCAUUACUAUAUAUUUAUCUGUUGAUCAUUGAUCAAUUCAUAAAUAAGUUUUUUGUCACUUGAUGAAAAAUAGUCUCAUUGAAUUGAAUUGAAAAGUCUCCUGGUUGCAAUAGCGCCCAAUAAAAUGGAAUUGAAAUCAGGAAAAGAAAAACAAAAUAAAUUGAACAUGGAUGUAGUAAGACUCCUAAGUUAUUUGAAAGCAUAUAUCCAGCCAAAAUUCCUUGGCAAUAGCUGACUUAGUUGGGGGUGAGCCAAACUAUGACGAAUAAGGUUGACUCAAUGGUAUCCGCGAAUUUCUGGUCAACAGAAUGACACUCGAAUCGAGAAAUCCAUAAAAUGUGAAAUUAUUCAACAAAAUAAUUAUUUCAUUCUGAUUUGGUAAUGCGUCAAUAAAAAAAAUAAUAAAUAAAAAGGUAGAUAUUUAUAAUCUCUUCUAUUUAAAAGAAAAGAAAAACACUACGUAAAUUCUCUCGAAAAGGAUGAAAUUUCUCUGCACCUCAGCAAUGGAAAAAACCGUAUCAGCAGUGAAAUGCGUGCUAAGAAGAUGCUAGAUCAUCAACAGAGAUAUAUCAAACAGAAUUAUAAACUUUCAUGCGAUUUCUAAAAUCCUACAACUUCCGACGCGAUCCAACAAUGUGCAGUUAUCAUUGACCGGAAAUACGCUUACCCAUAUGUAUAUGAAGUUGUUAAAGUCAUCGCAAUCAUGCGUUCAACUAUCUCCACCAAGAAAAACUCUCUUAAUUAAAAAAUGAAGAAAUUAUUGUCAAUAAAUUAUCAUCACUGAAUCGCAAAAGCCAGCCGGAAUAUUGAGGUAAAACACCAUCAUUCAUAACUAGUUUUUGUUGUUGGAAAAUUGUAAUAAAUAAAAAUACAUAUUUAAUCUUAUAAUUAAAGAAACAUUUGCCGUUUUGGAUAGAAUAAAAGUAGGUAACUUGUAUAAAAACAAGUGGGGAAUUUUCUGUUCACCUAUUUUCCGUUAAAUGGAAUUUCUAUGACGAUAAAUUUUCAAUUGAAUUUUUCGAUUUGAUCAGCAAAUUCACCACUGCCCCGGCGUUGGUAUUUUCUACUUUCACCUAAAUAUUGAUUUCACCAUGAAUUCUUCAUUUAAAAUUAUAUAUCACAUUGAUCAACACGAGUUGAAUGAACAUCGGAGGUCAGAUGAGUGACCUUGAAUUUUUUCAACUGCAUCCUUCAUUCGAAUUCACUCUACGUGAAUUUUGAGAAGCUCGACGAGCCGAGAACCCGGAACAUAUUAUCUACAAAAGUAAUGAAAAAGCCGCAACUUAUACAAAAAAAUUCACGUUUUUCGGAGUUGAUAAAUGCAAACAGAAACGAAGAGGGGAUUGAGGGGGAGUAGGUGUAAAAGGCUCAUUAGAGAGUGUUCGUACUCCAUGAGCAACGAGGCGUGACCAGCUUUCACGUGUCUUUCCAGCAUUCUUCCAAAGAAUUUGCCCGAAGGUAAAUAUUUGGCGUGUAAGUAUAAUCGAUAUAAAUUUGUCUGCUUUAUUUUUAUUUGAAACGGAACGAAAUAAAAAAAAAAUAGGGUAAUAGAACUAAAAUAUAACUGCCUGUGAGCGUAGAAAUCAUGGUGCGCAAGGUCGUCGCUAAAUUUUCAGUGUUACAUAUGUAUGUAUAUGUUCCACUGAUUAUUUCCGUUACUUUCGAUAUAUACACGAGAAUUAUUUUUCCCACCAUUUGAGUCAAUUGUAGAUAAAAAACAUGUAAUAUUGACAGGUUUUGAAUAGCGAAUCUUUCUUGUUUUCAGGACAAAUAUGCUAUUCCAAUUCAUGAAAGGAGAUGAAUAAUAUAUCAACGAAUAUUAAUGGUUCAUAUAUUACUAAUAUAUUAUUAAUAUACUAUCAAUGCAUAUUAUUUUUAGUGCUUCUGGAAAUUUUCCGAAAAUUCAAGAAGUUUCCGGAAAAUUCGAAAGAGAGAGAGAGAGAAGGCCGCGUACUAUAUUGUUAUUCUAUCCGUAAGGCCGUGCUUGACGGGAGCUGAGCAAUUGACAAGUACGAAUUCCUUAGCAAGAAGAUUAUACCCAUUCCUUAAAAAAAAACAAAAUUCCAAUUGACUUAAAAAUGGAACUUCAACGGUAAAAAGUCAAUAGAUGAAAUAAUUCUCUACGAUUGUGAAAUCUUCGAGGGGUUAAACGUUUAGACGUCUAAUGCAUCAGCGUUGCAUAAUUCAAAUGUCAAAUUACACAAUUGUGCAUCCCUGAAUUAUCCAGCACCCAAUGAUAUUAAAAAAAAACAGAAAUUCAGUUGUGUAGAUAAUAACUUGAAAAUUUGAGAUGAAAAUAAAUUUUUAUUGUUAAAACGAAA
Long non-coding RNA from Diachasmimorpha longicaudata, 2746 nucleotides. RefSeq lists it as uncharacterized. The record is from RefSeq and is a predicted model, not a curated record. NCBI's taxonomy places the organism in Eukaryota, Metazoa, Arthropoda, Insecta, Hymenoptera, Braconidae. The transcript is spliced from 2 exons.